Molecule: non-coding RNA, 174 nt
Organism: Cajanus cajan (pigeon pea)
Lineage: Eukaryota; Viridiplantae; Streptophyta; Magnoliopsida; Fabales; Fabaceae
Source: RefSeq, a predicted model, not a curated record
CAUCGUAAGCCAAAUGUUCAAAUCAAAAAUUUAAUUAAAAGUGUUAUGGUUGUCUAUAAUGUCAUGGGGGGUAGAUCUACAGCACAACCAAAGAACCUAGAUUGGAUUUAUCCCAUGAGUAAUCAACAACAAGGAGGUUACGAAUGUGGAUAUUAUGUGAUGAAUUGGAUGUUA